This 896-nucleotide ribosomal RNA is filed under the name Pseudomonas sp. RNAcentral describes it as "bacterial SSU rRNA". It matches the Rfam family "Bacterial small subunit ribosomal RNA", at positions 34 to 931 of the family's 1533-position model. The record is from RNAcentral. Lineage: Bacteria; Pseudomonadati; Pseudomonadota; Gammaproteobacteria; Pseudomonadales; Pseudomonadaceae.
CGUUGGGGGACGCUACCUGCAGUCGAGCGGAUGAAAGGAGCUUGCUCCUGGAUUCAGCGGCGGACGGGUGAGUAAUGCCUAGGAAUCUGCCUGGUAGUGGGGGACAACGUUUCGAAAGGAACGCUAAUACCGCAUACGUCCUACGGGAGAAAGCAGGGGACCUUCGGGCCUUGCGCUAUCAGAUGAGCCUAGGUCGGAUUAGCUAGUUGGUGAGGUAAUGGCUCACCAAGGCGACGAUCCGUAACUGGUCUGAGAGGAUGAUCAGUCACACUGGAACUGAGACACGGUCCAGACUCCUACGGGAGGCAGCAGUGGGGAAUAUUGGACAAUGGGCGAAAGCCUGAUCCAGCCAUGCCGCGUGUGUGAAGAAGGUCUUCGGAUUGUAAAGCACUUUAAGUUGGGAGGAAGGGUUGUAGAUUAAUACUCUGCAAUUUUGACGUUACCGACAGAAUAAGCACCGGCUAACUCUGUGCCAGCAGCCGCGGUAAUACAGAGGGUGCAAGCGUUAAUCGGAAUUACUGGGCGUAAAGCGCGCGUAGGUGGUUUGUUAAGUUGGAUGUGAAAUCCCCGGGCUCAACCUGGGAACUGCAUCCAAAACUGGCAAGCUAGAGUAUGGUAGAGGGUGGUGGAAUUUCCUGUGUAGCGGUGAAAUGCGUAGAUAUAGGAAGGAACACCAGUGGCGAAGGCGACCACCUGGACUGAUACUGACACUGAGGUGCGAAAGCGUGGGGAGCAAACAGGAUUAGAUACCCUGGUAGUCCACGCCGUAAACGAUGUCAACUAGCCGUUGGGAGCCUUGAGCUCUUAGUGGCGCAGCUAACGCAUUAAGUUGACCGCCUGGGGAGUACGGCCGCAAGGUUAAAACUCAAAUGAAUUGACGGGGGCCCGCACAAGCG